Molecule: ribosomal RNA, 253 nt
Filed under: uncultured bacterium
Lineage: Bacteria
Description: partial 16S ribosomal RNA
Rfam family: Bacterial small subunit ribosomal RNA
Source: RNAcentral
UACGGGGGGGGCAAGCGUUGUUCGGAAUUACUGGGCGUAAAGGGCUCGUAGGCGGCCAACUAAGUCAGACGUGAAAUCCCUCGGCUUAACCGGGGAACUGCGUCUGAUACUGGAUGGCUUGAGUUCGGGAGAGGGAUGCGGAAUUCCAGGUGUAGCGGUGAAAUGCGUAGAUACUGGGAGGAACACCAGUGGCGAAGGCGGCUCACUGGACCGGUACUGACGCUGAUGCGCGAAAGCGUGGGGAGCAAACAGG